UGGGGAAUCUUGGACAAUGGGCGCAAGCCUGAUCCAGCCAUGCCGCGUGAGCGAUGAAGGCCUUAGGGUUGUAAAGCUCUUUCACCGGUGAAGAUAAUGACGGUAGCCGGAGAAGAAGCCCCGGCUAACUCCGUGCCAGCAGCCGCGGUAAUACGGAGGGGGUUAGCGUUGUUCGGAAUUACUGGGCGUAAAGCGCACGUAGGCGGACCAGAAAGUUGGGGGUGAAAUCCCGGGGGCUCAACCCCGGAACUGCCUCCAAAACUAUUGGUCUAGAGUUCGAGAGAGGUGAGUGGAAUUCCAAGUGUAGAGGUGAAAUUCGUAGAUAUUAGGUGGAACACCAGUGGCGAAGGCGGCUCACUGGCUCGAUACUGACGCUGAGGUGCGAAAGUGUGGGGAGCAAACAGGAUUAGAUACCCUGGUAGUCCACACCGUAAACGAUGAAUGCUAGUCGUCGGCAGGCAUGCCUGUCGGUGACGCAGCUAACGCAUUAAGCACUCCGCCUGGGGAGUACGGCCGC
Molecule: ribosomal RNA, 517 nt
Filed under: uncultured bacterium
Lineage: Bacteria
Description: bacterial SSU rRNA
Rfam family: Bacterial small subunit ribosomal RNA
Source: RNAcentral